GCCCUUCUCCGACAGCCGCGGGGCGCUGAAGCUCGCCUCCCGGCGCAGGACGAGUUUCCCGACCUGAGCGGCCACCAAGACCCAGUGGCCGAGGCGCUGCCCCAGCUGAACGCGGAGCUGCGCGCCAGGGGUGGCUUCGCGCUGGAGGCGCCAUCCAGACCCGCGUGGACAGCCCGGGCCACCCGUACUCAGGGCCGUGGGCCGCGUGGCGGCCGACGAGGAGUCCUACGACGUGUUCAAGGAUCUCUUCGGCCCCAUCCUUGAGGACCGGCACCGCACUACAAGCCCAGCGAUGAGCACAAGACCCAGCUCAACCCCGACAACCUGCUGGGAGGCGGCCACCUGGCCCCCAACUGUGUUGAGCUCGCGGUGCGCACGGCCUCCACUUCUGCCUCCCGUGGGUCCCGCGAUGGACGCCCUAGAGACUGGUCGGCGACCUGGCGGGCCUGGACGACGCGCGCAGGAGCAGGACCGACGCGGAACAGCAACAGCAGCUCCUCGACAGCCACUUCCUCUUCCACGAGCCUGUACCGCCCCUGCUCCUGGCCUCGGGCAUGGCCCAACGCCCGCGGCAUCUGGCACAAGGACAGUAUAGACCUUCCUGGUGUGGGGCGGCGACGAGGACCACCUGCGGGCCAUCUCCGUGCAACAGGGGGGCAAACGAAGGAGGCAUUUACUGCUUCUGCCUCGGCCUCUCCCGGUUUGAAACUCUUCAAGUCUAGGAACGACGAGUUCAUGUGGAAUCCUCACCUGGGCUCCAUCCUCACCUGCCCUCCCAACCUGGGCACAGGGCUGCAGGGGCAAGUGUGCACAUCAGGCUGCCCCACCUGGGCAAGCACGAGUUCUCGGAGGUGCUUAAGAGGCUGUGGCUUCAGGCUGGGCGCGGUGGCUGUGACUUCAGAAGUGAGGGACAGACGGUGUGGACGUGGCCGCGGUGGGUGGGGUCUUUGACGUCUCCAACGCUGACCUCCGGGGCUUCUCAGAGGUGGUGCUGGUGCAGAUGCGGGUGGGCGUCAUAAAGCUGCUCAUUGAGAUGGAGCAGUGGCAUCACCAGGGCCAGGCCACCUAUGGCCUAAUGCUUGCCCA
This 1086-nucleotide long non-coding RNA is filed under the name Homo sapiens (human). RNAcentral describes it as "non-protein coding lnc-C16orf87-1:1". Lineage: Eukaryota; Metazoa; Chordata; Mammalia; Primates; Hominidae. The record is from RNAcentral.